Molecule: transfer RNA, 56 nt
Filed under: Gemmatimonadetes bacterium GWC2_71_9
Lineage: Bacteria; Pseudomonadati; Gemmatimonadota
Description: tRNA-Gly
Rfam family: tRNA
About the family: Transfer RNA (tRNA) molecules are approximately 80 nucleotides in length. Their secondary structure includes four short double-helical elements and three loops (D, anti-codon, and T loops).
Source: RNAcentral
GGCGUAAUUCAGCGGUAGAAUGCCAGCUUCCCAAGCUGGACGUCGUGGGUUCGACU